This 173-nucleotide ribosomal RNA is filed under the name Clostridium botulinum. Its description in RNAcentral is "partial 23S ribosomal RNA". It matches the Rfam family "Bacterial large subunit ribosomal RNA", at positions 1007 to 1180 of the family's 2925-position model. The record is from RNAcentral. Lineage: Bacteria; Bacillati; Bacillota; Clostridia; Eubacteriales; Clostridiaceae.
GUAGUCAAAAGGGAAACAGCCCAGACCAUCAGCUAAGGUCCCAAAGUGUAAGUUAAGUGGAAAAGGAUGUGGGAUUCUAAGACAACUAGGAUGUUGGCUUAGAAGCAGCCACUCAUUUAAAGAGUGCGUAAUAGCUCACUAGUCAAGAGAUCCUGCGCCGAAGAUGUCCGGGG